This 298-nucleotide unclassified non-coding RNA is filed under the name Hevea brasiliensis (rubber tree). Lineage: Eukaryota; Viridiplantae; Streptophyta; Magnoliopsida; Malpighiales; Euphorbiaceae. The record is from RNAcentral.
GAGGAGCUGGUUGUACUUGGCCAAACGCUCAGAUCGGCAUGGAGCACCAGUCUUGAUCUGACCCGUUGACAAACCAACUGCAAGAUCAGCAAUGAAGGUAUCCUCAGUUUCACCACUUCGGUGGCUCGUCAUUACACCCCAGCCUGCUUGCUUGGACAUUUUAACAGCCUCAAUGCUCUCAGUAACAGACCCAAUCUGGUUGACCUUCAAGAGAAGGGCAUUGCAGGUCUUUUCCUUGAUUGCCUUCGCAACCCUCGUGGGGUUAGUGACAAGAAGAUCAUCACCAACAAUCUGCACU